UACAGAGGGGGCAAGCGUUGUUCGGAAUUACUGGGCGUAAAGGGCGCGUAGGCGGCCUUCUAAGUCGAACGUGAAAUCCCCGGGCUCAACCCGGGAACUGCGUCCGAUACUGGAAGGCUUGAAUCCGGGAGAGGGAUGUGGAAUUCCCGGUGUAGUGGUGAAAUGCGUAGAUAUCGGGAGGAACACCAGUGGCGAAGGCGACUACCUGGCCUGUUUCUUGACACUGAGGCGCGAAAGCUAGGGGAGCAAACGGG
Molecule: ribosomal RNA, 254 nt
Filed under: uncultured bacterium
Lineage: Bacteria
Description: partial 16S ribosomal RNA
Rfam family: Bacterial small subunit ribosomal RNA
Source: RNAcentral